RNAcentral lists this transfer RNA (74 nucleotides) under Candidatus Pacearchaeota archaeon. Its description in RNAcentral is "tRNA-Pro". It matches the Rfam family "tRNA". From Rfam's summary of the family: Transfer RNA (tRNA) molecules are approximately 80 nucleotides in length. Their secondary structure includes four short double-helical elements and three loops (D, anti-codon, and T loops). The record is from RNAcentral. Lineage: Archaea; Nanobdellati.
GGGGCUGUGGGGUAGCUUAGUUAGCCUUCUAGCUUCGGGAGCUAGCGACCCGGGUGCGAAUCCCGGCAGCCCCA